CCUACGGGGGGCUGCAGUGAGGAAUAUUGGUCAAUGGACGAGAGUCUGAACCAGCCAAGUAGCGUGAAGGAUGACUGCCCUAUGGGUUGUAAACUGCUGUUAUAGGGGAAUAAAAUGGACCACGUGUGGGAUUUUGUAUGUACCAUAUGAAUAAGGAUCGGCUAACUCCGUGCCAGCAGCCGAGGUAAUACGGAGGAUCCGAGCGUUAUCCGGAUUUAUUGGGUUUAAAGGGAGCGUAGGUGGAUUGUUAAGUCAGUUGUCAAAGUUUUCGGCUCAACCGUAAAAUUGCAGUUGAAACUUGCAGUCUUGAGUACAGUAGAGGUGGGCGGAAUUCGUGGUGUAGCGGUGAAAUGCUUAGAUAUCACGAAGAACUCCGAUUGCGAAGGCAGUUCACUGAACUGCACCUGACACUGAGGCUCGAAAGUGUGGGUAUCAAACAGGAUUAGAUACCCCUGUAGUC
This 460-nucleotide ribosomal RNA is filed under the name uncultured bacterium. RNAcentral describes it as "partial 16S ribosomal RNA". It matches the Rfam family "Bacterial small subunit ribosomal RNA", at positions 338 to 795 of the family's 1533-position model. The record is from RNAcentral.